AUGCCUUGCUCUCAUGUCAUUGCCGCUUGUGGUUAUAUCCAUCAAGACGCGCUACAACUUCUGUCACACAUUUACAAAUCUGAAAUGUUGCUCAACGUUUACAAGAACAGCUUUCCUUUGGUAGCAAAACCAGAUUAUUGCCCUGCAUACGACGGCGAAAUAGUGUGGCACAAUGACCAAAUGUGA
Vicia faba (fava bean) is the source of this 186-nucleotide non-coding RNA. The record is from the annotation of a GenBank genome assembly. NCBI's taxonomy places the organism in Eukaryota, Viridiplantae, Streptophyta, Magnoliopsida, Fabales, Fabaceae.